GGAAACGUAGCCAAGUAGUAAGGCAGCGGUCUGCAAAACCGCCAUGCGCGGGUGCGAAUCCCGCCGUUUCCU
This 72-nucleotide transfer RNA is filed under the name bacterium. RNAcentral describes it as "tRNA-Cys". It matches the Rfam family "tRNA". From Rfam's summary of the family: Transfer RNA (tRNA) molecules are approximately 80 nucleotides in length. Their secondary structure includes four short double-helical elements and three loops (D, anti-codon, and T loops). The record is from RNAcentral.